This 643-nucleotide ribosomal RNA is filed under the name Bacillus cereus. RNAcentral's name for it is "bacterial SSU rRNA". It matches the Rfam family "Bacterial small subunit ribosomal RNA", at positions 832 to 1475 of the family's 1533-position model. The record is from RNAcentral. Lineage: Bacteria; Bacillati; Bacillota; Bacilli; Caryophanales; Bacillaceae.
CCGCCCCUUUAGUGCUGAAGUUAAUGCAUUAAGCACUCCGCCUGGGGAGUACGGCCGCAAGGCUGAAACUCAAAAGGAAUUGACGGGGGCCCGCACAAGCGGUGGAGCAUGUGGUUUAAUUUGAAGCAACGCGAAGAACCUUACCAGGUCUUGACAUCCUCUGAAAACCCUAGAGAUAGGGCUUCUCCUUCGGGAGCAGAGUGACAGGUGGUGCAUGGUUGUCGUCAGCUUGUGUCGUGAGAUGUUGGGUUAAGUCCCGCAACGAGCGCAACCCUUGAUCUUAGUUGCCAUCAUUAAGUUGGGCACUCUAAGGUGACUGCCGGUGACAAACCGGAGGAAGGUGGGGAUGACGUCAAAUCAUCAUGCCCCUUAUGACCUGGGCUACACACGUGCUACAAUGGACGGUACAAAGAGCUGCAAGACCGCGAGGUGGAGCUAAUCUCAUAAAACCGUUCUCAGUUCGGAUUGUAGGCUGCAACUCGCCUACAUGAAGCUGGAAUCGCUAGUAAUCGCGGAUCAGCAUGCCGCGGUGAAUACGUUCCCGGGCCUUGUACACACCGCCCGUCACACCACGAGAGUUUGUAACACCCGAAGUCGGUGGGGUAACCUUUUGGAGCCAGCCGCCUAAGGUGGAACAAGGGGU